GACGAACGCUGGCGGCGUGCUUAACACAUGCAAGUCGUACGGUAAGGCCCUUUCGGGGGUACACGAGUGGCGAACGGGUGAGUAACACGUGAGUAACCUGCCCACAACUUUGGGAUAACGCUAGGAAACUGGUGCUAAUACUGGAUAUGUGCUCCUGCUGCAUGGUGGGGGUUGGAAAGCUCCGGCGGUUGUGGAUGGACUCGCGGCCUAUCAGCUUGUUGGUGGGGUAGUGGCCUACCAAGGCGGCGACGGGUAGCCGGCCUGAGAGGGUGACCGGCCACAUUGGGACUGAGAUACGGCCCAGACUCCUACGGGAGGCAGCGGUGGGGAAUAUUGCACAAUGGGCGCAAGCCUGAUGCAGCAACGCCGCGUGCGGGAGGACGGCCUUCGGGUUGUAAACCGCUUUCAGCAGGGACGAAGCUUUUUGUGACGGUACCUGCAGAAGAAGCACCGGCUAACUACGUG
Molecule: ribosomal RNA, 465 nt
Filed under: uncultured bacterium
Lineage: Bacteria
Description: partial 16S ribosomal RNA
Rfam family: Bacterial small subunit ribosomal RNA
Source: RNAcentral